Molecule: transfer RNA, 69 nt
Filed under: Passiflora mixta
Lineage: Eukaryota; Viridiplantae; Streptophyta; Magnoliopsida; Malpighiales; Passifloraceae
Also listed under: 2 other names
Description: partial tRNA-Leu
Source: RNAcentral
GGAUUGAGCCUUGGUAUGGAAAAUCCGUCGACUUUAGAAAUCGUGAUGGUUCAAGUCCCUCUAUCCCCA